Phytophthora sojae is the source of this 73-nucleotide transfer RNA. It matches the Rfam family "tRNA". From Rfam's summary of the family: Transfer RNA (tRNA) molecules are approximately 80 nucleotides in length. Their secondary structure includes four short double-helical elements and three loops (D, anti-codon, and T loops). Lineage: Eukaryota; Oomycota; Peronosporomycetes; Peronosporales; Peronosporaceae. The record is from Rfam.
GCGCGGCUGGCGCAAUGGAAAGCGUAUCAAACUUCGAAUCUGGGGGUUGCGGGUUCGAGUCCCGCGUUCCGUA